ACGGGUGAGUAACGCGUGGGAACGUACCUUUUGGUUCGGAACAACACAGGGAAACUUGUGCUAAUACCGGAUAAGCCCUUACGGGGAAAGAUUUAUCGCCGAAAGAUCGGCCCGCGUCUGAUUAGCUAGUUGGUGAGGUAAUGGCUCACCAAGGCGACGAUCAGUAGCUGGUCUGAGAGGAUGAUCAGCCACAUUGGGACUGAGACACGGCCCAAACUCCUACGGGAGGCAGCAGUGGGGAAUAUUGGACAAUGGGGGCAACCCUGAUCCAGCCAUGCCGCGUGAGUGAUGAAGGCCCUAGGGUUGUAAAGCUCUUUUGUGCGGGAAGAUAAUGACGGUACCGCAAGAAUAAGCUCCGGCUAACUUCGUGCCAGCAGCCGCGGUAAUACGAAGGGGGCUAGCGUUGCUCGGAAUCACUGGGCGUAAAGGGUGCGUAGGCGGGUCUUUAAGUCAGGGGUGAAAUCCUGGAGCUCAACUCCAGAACUGCCUUUGAUACUGAAGAUCUUGAGUUCGGGAGAGGUGAGUGGAACUGCGAGUGUAGAGGUGAAAUUCGUAGA
Molecule: ribosomal RNA, 557 nt
Filed under: uncultured bacterium
Lineage: Bacteria
Description: bacterial SSU rRNA
Rfam family: Bacterial small subunit ribosomal RNA
Source: RNAcentral